GGGCGGCUAGCUCAGUUGGGAGAGCGCGGCGUUCGCAACGCCGAGGUCGCGAGUUCGAGCCUCGCGCCGUCCACCA
Molecule: transfer RNA, 76 nt
Filed under: Acidobacteriota bacterium
Lineage: Bacteria; Pseudomonadati; Acidobacteriota
Also listed under: 1 other name
Description: Acidobacteria bacterium tRNA-Ala
Rfam family: tRNA
About the family: Transfer RNA (tRNA) molecules are approximately 80 nucleotides in length. Their secondary structure includes four short double-helical elements and three loops (D, anti-codon, and T loops). Further hydrogen bonds mediate the characteristic L-shaped molecular structure. tRNAs have two regions of fundamental functional importance: the anti-codon, which is responsible for specific mRNA codon recognition, and the 3' end, to which the tRNAs corresponding amino acid is attached (by aminoacyl-tRNA synthetases). tRNAs cope with the degeneracy of the genetic code in two manners: having more than one tRNA (with a specific anti-codon) for a particular amino acid; and 'wobble' base-pairing, i.e. permitting non-standard base-pairing at the 3rd anti-codon position.
Source: RNAcentral